This is a non-coding RNA of Labrus bergylta (ballan wrasse), 233 nucleotides long. The record is from RefSeq and is a predicted model, not a curated record. NCBI's taxonomy places the organism in Eukaryota, Metazoa, Chordata, Actinopteri, Labriformes, Labridae.
UCUGGCAAACAAGCAGAUCAACUGGCAGCUGGUGCUCGCAAGUAAUGGCAAACUGCUGGCAGUCGUUCAGGACCAGUGUGUGGAGAUUAGGUCUGUGAGAGAUGACUUUGGCUCAGUCAUCGGGAAGUGCCAGGUGCCAAAGGACCCAAACCCCCAGUGGAGGAGGGUGGCGUGGAGCCAUGACUGCACCCUGCUGGCCUACGCCGACAGCACCGGCACCACGCGUCUUUUUG